UGGGGAAUAUUGCACAAUGGGCGCAAGCCUGAUGCAGCCAUGCCGCGUGUAUGAAGAAGGCCUUCGGGUUGUAAAGUACUUUCAGCGGGGAGGAAGGGAGUAAAGUUAAUACCUUUGCUCAUUGACGUUACCCGCAGAAGAAGCACCGGCUAACUCCGUGCCAGCAGCCGCGGUAAUACGGAGGGUGCAAGCGUUAAUCGGAAUUACUGGGCGUAAAGCGCACGCAGGCGGUUUGUUAAGUCAGAUGUGAAAUCCCCGGGCUCAACCUGGGAACUGCAUCUGAUACUGGCAAGCUUGAGUCUCGUAGAGGGGGGUAGAAUUCCAGGUGUAGCGGUGAAAUGCGUAGAGAUCGGGAGGAAUACCGGUGGCGAAGGCGGCCCCCUGGACGAAGACUGACGCUCAGGUGCGAAAGCGUGGGGAGCAAACAGG
This 429-nucleotide ribosomal RNA is filed under the name Chloroflexota bacterium. RNAcentral's name for it is "Chloroflexi bacterium partial 16S ribosomal RNA". It matches the Rfam family "Bacterial small subunit ribosomal RNA", at positions 355 to 776 of the family's 1533-position model. The record is from RNAcentral. Lineage: Bacteria; Bacillati; Chloroflexota.